CCUACGGGAGGCUGCAGUGAGGAAUAUUGGUCAAUGGGCGCGAGCCUGAACCAGCCAAGUAGCGUGAAGGAUGACUGCCCUAUGGGUCGUAAACUUCUUUUAUAAAGGAAUAAAGUGAGGCACGUGUGCCGUUUUGUAUGUACCUUAUGAAUAAGGAUCGGCUAACUCCGUGCCAGCAGCCGCGGUAAUACGGAGGAUCCGAGCGUUAUCCGGAUUUAUUGGGUUUAAAGGGAGCGUAGAUGGGUUGUUAAGUCAGUUGUGAAAGUUUGUGGCUCAACCGUAAAAUUGCCGUUGAUACUGGCAGGCUUGAGUACGGUUGAGGUAGGCGGAAUGCGUGGUGUAGCGGUGAAAUGCUUAGAUAUCACGCAGAACUCCGAUUGCGAAGGCAGCCUGCUAAGCUACCACUGACGUUGAUGCACGAAAGUGUGGGUAUCAAACAGGAUUAGAUACCCGAGUAGUC
This 460-nucleotide ribosomal RNA is filed under the name uncultured bacterium. Its description in RNAcentral is "partial 16S ribosomal RNA". It matches the Rfam family "Bacterial small subunit ribosomal RNA", at positions 338 to 795 of the family's 1533-position model. The record is from RNAcentral.